UUUUAUAAUAGGACACACUGGAAACAUUGGUAAUUUUCAGAUAUGACCAAACAGUUUUGAGGAAUUGAGGUUGACUUUACAGAGCCAAUACGAACCCCCUUGGAAAACUGGCCCGGUACCUUGUCUAUAUGCUUCACUUACAAGAUUCCUGACCUUACAAGAUUCCUGACCUUGUGGAAACCAGAACCAUGGUAUUCCAAAGACUAGAGAUGAUUCAACAAAGCAUGUGAAUCUCCUUCAUUUGGAGUCCUGCUGAGCCUGCUCUGUUUUCCAUUGCCAAUGCACCACUAUUAAAGCUAUAUAACAUUAAGCACCCUCCCUCUUGGUGCAGGGACUAUUGUGAAAGACGCAGGUCUUCUUUAUUGUACAGCUGCUCCUUAACUUACGAUGGGGUUAUAUCCUGAUAAACUCAUCAUAAAUUGAAAAUAUAAUAUGUUGACAUAGAGCUGCUAUUACCUGAAGAUGGCUGAAUAGGAACAGCUCCGGUCUACAGCUCCCAGCGUGAGCGAUGCAGAA
Molecule: long non-coding RNA, 516 nt
Organism: Homo sapiens (human)
Lineage: Eukaryota; Metazoa; Chordata; Mammalia; Primates; Hominidae
Exons: 3
Source: RefSeq, a predicted model, not a curated record